AACGAACGCUGGCGGCAUGCCUAACACAUGCAAGUCGAACGAGACCUUCGGGUCUAGUGGCGCACGGGUGCGUAACGCGUGGGAACCUACCCUUAGGUUCGGAAUAACUCCCCGAAAGGGGUGCUAAUACCGGAUAAUGUCUUCGGACCAAAGAUUUAUCGCCUUUGGAUGGGCCCGCGUUGGAUUCGCUAGUUGGUAGGGUAAAAGCCUACCAAGGCGACGAUCCAUAGCUGGUCUGAGAGCAUGAUCAGCCACACUGGGACUGAGACACGGCCCAGACUCCUACGGGAGGCAGCGGUGGGGAAUAUAGGACAAGGGGCGAAAGCCUGAUCCAGCAAUGCCGCGUGAGUGAUGAAGGCCUUAGGGUUGUAAAGCUCUUUUACCCGGGAUGAUAAUGACAGUACCGGGAGAAUAAGCACCGGCUAACUCCGUG
Molecule: ribosomal RNA, 433 nt
Filed under: uncultured bacterium
Lineage: Bacteria
Description: partial 16S ribosomal RNA
Rfam family: Bacterial small subunit ribosomal RNA
Source: RNAcentral